GUUUUCAAGGUUCAUCAUGUAGUAGCAUGAGUCAGUACUUCAUUCCUUUUCUGUGGGCAGAAUAUUACCCCAUCAUAUGGGUUGGUAUAGGAGCACUCUAGGGGAGCCGACUGCCUACCUCUGUAAUUCCUGCUCCUGCAGCUCUUACAAUUGGCUUCAGCCUCAUAGGCCAUUCUUUUCAUUCUUGAACUCAUCAAGCUUGAUCCCAGCUGUAGGCCUGUGGAAUCACUGUCUCCUCCACCUUCAGAUCUGCAGUGUCCUUUGCCCAGAUCCUUACCUCCUCCUCAUCCAGGUCACAGAUACAAAGUUUACCCCUGAGAGAAGCUUCUCUGACUGCACUAGUCUAAAGUUGUCUACAUACAUUACUAACUCUUCAGCCUCAUUUUCCUCAAAUUUCUAAUCAUUAUCUGAAAUUAUCUAGUGCGGGUACUUUAUUGUCUGUCUCUCCCACUAAAAUAGAAGUCUGUGCAAGCUGUGACUUUGCUUAGAGCAGAGCCUGGCAUUUAGAAAAAGAUCAAUCAAUAUUUGUUGAAUGAAUAAAUUGAGUAGUGUCCUCAAUGUAAUGCUAAGCCUUUAAAGGUUUUAAGGAAGGAAGUGACAUGAUCUAUUUUACAUUAAAAAAGCAAAGCAUUCUGGUUGCUGUGAAGAAUGAAUUUUAGGAAGGCCCCCCCACCAAAUGCAACCUUAAACUGUCUAGGCAGUACAUUUAUCAUUUUCUGUGUUUAAUAUUGAUUCCAGCUAGAACUUAUUUGUUGAGUGAGAAAUUUUAUUUUACCCCGCUGUCCCAGGUGGAGACUGGAUUAAAAUGACUGGUUUAGAAGCAAAAUGUUUCAUGCCCCUUUUGUACUUCACAUUCUAUAAUAAUUUUCUUACUGGUUCCCUAUUUAACUAAAAACACUUUUGCUUUGCUUUUCAAUUACAGAAAGUAUGAACCCACUUUCUUUUCUUUCUACUUAGUUGUCUGGAACCCCACUUUCAAUCUUUAUGCAAAGGUGUAUUCAAAUAAUUGCUUCUCUUCAGUAUCUGACAUCAAUGGGUUGAGGUUCUUCUGAGGUGUUGCCUUGUGCCCUCUAGUGGAUGAAGGGCUGGGUUGGGAGUGGAG
This is a non-coding RNA of Miniopterus natalensis, 1102 nucleotides long. The record is from RefSeq and is a predicted model, not a curated record. Lineage: Eukaryota; Metazoa; Chordata; Mammalia; Chiroptera; Miniopteridae.